This 585-nucleotide ribosomal RNA is filed under the name uncultured bacterium. RNAcentral's name for it is "bacterial SSU rRNA". It matches the Rfam family "Bacterial small subunit ribosomal RNA", at positions 202 to 805 of the family's 1533-position model. The record is from RNAcentral.
CAAAGGAGCAAUCCGCUGAAAGAUGGGCUCGCGUCCGAUUAGGUAGUUGGCGGGGCAACGGCCCACCAAGCCGACGAUCGGUAGCCGGACUGAGAGGUUGAACGGCCACAUUGGGACUGAGACACGGCCCAGACUCCUACGGGAGGCAGCAGUGAGGGAUAUUGGUCAAUGGGGGAAACCCUGAACCAGCAACGCCGCGUGAGGGAAGACGGUUUUCGGAUUGUAAACCUCUGUCCUCUGUGAAGAUGAUGACGGUAGCAGAGGAGGAAGCUCCGGCUAACUACGUGCCAGCAGCCGCGGUAAUACGUAGGGAGCAAGCGUUGUCCGGAUUUACUGGGUGUAAAGGGUGCGUAGGCGGCUUUGCAAGUCAGAAGUGAAAUCCAUGGGCUUAACCCAUGAACUGCUUUUGAAACUGCAGAGCUUGAGUGGAGUAGAGGUAGGCGGAAUUCCCGGUGUAGCGGUGAAAUGCGUAGAGAUCGGGAGGAACACCAGUGGCGAAGGCGGCCUGCUGGGCUCUAACUGACGCUGAGGCACGAAAGCGUGGGUAGCAAACAGGAUUAGAUACCCUGGUAGUCCACGCUGUAA